This 1122-nucleotide long non-coding RNA is filed under the name Gouania willdenowi (blunt-snouted clingfish). Its description in RNAcentral is "lncRNA (ENSGWIG00000008950.1)". The record is from RNAcentral. Lineage: Eukaryota; Metazoa; Chordata; Actinopteri; Blenniiformes; Gobiesocidae.
ACCAUGUGAUGGUCCACCUGAUUCCUUCAUACAGACAGAGGCUGAAGCUCUGUAAACCUGUGGUGAAGGAAUCUAAACAAUGGACCAGUGAAGCAGUGGAGAAACUCCAGGAGUGUUUGGACUGGACUGACUGGGAUGUUUUCAGGUCUGCGAACAGUUCUCUGGAUGAGUUUACAGACGCUGUGACGUCCUACAUCAGCUUCUGUGAGGACAGCUGUAUUCCAUCAAAGACCAGGGUGAGUUAUAACAAUGACAAACCCUGGUUCACAGCUAAGCUCAGAGGGCUGAGGGCAGACAAAGAGGUCGCUUUCAGGAGUGGAGACAGAGCCAGGUACAGAGAGUCGAAGUACACGUUUGAAAAGGAGGUGAGAAAAGCCAAACGUUUGUACUCAGAGAAGCUACAACAUCAGUUCUCUGCAAAUGACUCGGCUUCUGUCUGGAGAGGGCUCAGGCAAAUUACAAACUACAAGCCCAGAGCCCCUGCUGCUGCUAACGACCUCUGCCUGGCCAACAGUCUGAAUGAGUUCUAUUGUAGAUUUGACAGACAAUGGGACAGACCUGACUCCAACCCCCCUCACACCUCUGACCAGCCUCACUCCAACACCUUCACCCCCCACAUCAAAGCUACAGUUUCACCCCAGCUGCCUACAGAGGCUCUCUCCCCUAUCUUCCCCCCCUCCUCCCCCCCUCCUACAGAGACACCUUUCUCCAUCAAAGAGAGAGAUGUGAAUAGACUUUUCAGGAGACAAAACCCCCGUAAGGCUUGUGGACCGGACUCUGUCUCUCCCUCUACCUUGAAGCACUGUGCUGAUCAGCUGUCUCCAGUGUUCACAGACAUUUUUAACACCUCACUGGAGACAUGCACCGUACCAGCCUGUUUUAAGGCCUCCACCAUCGUUCCUGUCCCUAAAAAGCUGAGGAUCACAGGACUUAAUGACUACAGACCCAUCGCUCUGACAUCUGUGGUCAUGAAGUCCUUUGAACGCCUCAUGCUCUCCCACAUCAAGGACAUCACCGACCCCCACCUGGACCCCCUGCAGUUUGCCUAUAGAUCCAACAGGUCAGUAGACGAUGCUGUAAACCUGGCUCUCCACUUCAUCCUCCAGCACCUGGACUCCCCAG